GUGAAUCAUCGAAUUUUUGAACGCAAAUUGCGCUUGCUGGUAUUCUGGGAAGUAUGCCUGUUUGAGGGUCAGUAUUAACAAAAAAUCGGUUUCGUUGCAAAUCGUGAGGAUUCGGGAGUUUGGGCUUAUGUUAAGUUUUUUGGUUAAGGGGCUUAAAAUUGACCUUUUUUGAGCACUUUUAGACGUACAUAAAUUUUUUUUAUUCGUCUAUUUUUAAUGCCAAAAUCUUAUUAGAUGCGAUCAAAGC
RNAcentral lists this unclassified non-coding RNA (247 nucleotides) under Glomeraceae sp. RNAcentral's name for it is "partial contains 5.8S ribosomal RNA and internal transcribed spacer 2". The stretch from base 1 to 71 matches the Rfam family "5.8S ribosomal RNA", at positions 84 to 154 of the family's 154-position model. The record is from RNAcentral. Lineage: Eukaryota; Fungi; Glomeromycota; Glomeromycetes; Glomerales; Glomeraceae.